UCUACCCUGAAUCAGCUAAACAGAUUGUUUCCAAGAAGAUGUAGGAGAGAGUAUUAGCAGUUCCCUGGUCCAGAGAGAGAUCCCAGGAAUACAACCUGGAAAGGUAUCAGAGAAGAUCAGAGUAAAGUCUGCAUGAGGCAGCCUUUCACUCUGUGAGGCUAGGAAGAGCAGACUAAAAUGGAGAAAUCACAGGAAAGUCUCUGGGUGCCAGAGUUCUUAGCUAGAAGGGCAAUAUUUUGCAAGAAUAAUAAGCAUCACAACUGACCACAGAGAUCACUGUGUGGUGUAUCCAAAAAUCCAGAGAAAGGAGCUGUUGUUUAUCUCUCUCCUAACCAUCACUGAAGGCAGCAUGAUACCCAUUGCAGCACUCUUUUACAUAUAUUGCAAAUACCCUGGACCCAUCCUCAGCAGAAUCCAAUGAGUGCUAGAGAUUGCUGCAUAGGUGUGAGAUCCUUCUUUCUGCUCAAGAGGAGUCUUGAGAUGGUCCCUUCCAUAAGUGCAUCUAUUCCCGUGUUAUCAGAGGAAUCUUGAAGAUUUCUGCUUGUUUUUGUCAACAUCUUGGGCCAAAAAUAAAUAAAUA
Chrysemys picta bellii (western painted turtle) is the source of this 580-nucleotide long non-coding RNA. RefSeq lists it as uncharacterized. The record is from RefSeq and is a predicted model, not a curated record. NCBI's taxonomy places the organism in Eukaryota, Metazoa, Chordata, Testudines, Emydidae.